GGGAAUCUUCCACAAUGGGCGAAAGCCUGAUGGAGCAACGCCGCGUGGGUGAAGAAGGUCUUCGGAUCGUAAAACCCUGUUGUUAGAGAAGAACAAGUGGGAGAGUAACUGUUCCCACCUUGACGGUAUCUAACCAGAAAGCCACGGCUAACUACGUGCCAGCAGCCGCGGUAAUACGUAGGUGGCUAGCGUUAUUCGGAAUUACUGGGCGUAAAGGGAACGCAGGCGGUCUUUUAAGUCUGAUGUGAAAGCCUUCGGCUUAACCGGAGUAGUGCAUUGGAAACUGGGAGACUUGAGUGCAGAAGAGGAGAGUGGAACUCCAUGUGUAGCGGUGAAAUGCGUAGAUAUAUGGAAGAACACCAGUGGCGAAAGCGGCUCUCUGGUCUGUAACUGACGCUGAGGUUCGAAAGCGUGGGUAGCA
Molecule: ribosomal RNA, 421 nt
Filed under: uncultured bacterium
Lineage: Bacteria
Description: bacterial SSU rRNA
Rfam family: Bacterial small subunit ribosomal RNA
Source: RNAcentral